RNAcentral lists this ribosomal RNA (434 nucleotides) under uncultured bacterium. RNAcentral's name for it is "partial 16S ribosomal RNA". It matches the Rfam family "Bacterial small subunit ribosomal RNA", at positions 29 to 507 of the family's 1533-position model. The record is from RNAcentral.
AGCGAACGCUGGCGGCAGGCCUAACACAUGCAAGUCGAACGAUCCUUUCGGGUUUAUUUGCGGACGGGUGAGUAACCCGUGGGAACGUGCCUUUAGGUUCGGUAUACCUCAGGGAAACUUGUGCUAAUACCGAAUGUGUCCUUCUGGGGCAUGAUUACUUUCCUUUAGAGCGGUCCGCUUCUGAUUAGCUAGUUGGUUGAGGUAAUGGCUCACCAAGGCGUAGAGCAGUAGCUGGUCUGAGAGGAUGCUCAGACACAUUGGGACUGAGACACGGACCAAACUCCUACGGGAGGAAGAAGGGGGGAAUCAUGCGCAAUGGGCGAGAGACGGACGCAGCCAUGCCGCGUGAAUGAUGAAGGUGUUAGGAUUGUAAGAUUCUUUCGCCGGGGACGAUAAUGACGGUACCCGGAGAAGAAGCCCCGGCUAACUACGUG